UCAGUGACUUUAUAAAGUGAAAGGAGGUAGGCAGAGCGUCUGAGUGAGAGGGAGAUUUGAAGAUGCGGCCCUCUGGUUUUGAAGAUGGAAGAGAGUUGUGAGUUAACCACACAGGCCAUCUCUGGAAGACAGACAAGAGGAGAAAUCAAGUUUUCCCUCAGACUUUCUAGAAGGAAUAGAGCCUGGCUGAGGCUGGAUAUUUUGCCGUGAAAGAAUGGAUACGGAAGGCAGAAACAUGGAUGCAAGGCUCAUGGUGAUGGACACAGGUGGAGAGAGAAAGGCUGGUUUCACACAGGGAAAUUUUGGGAUUUAGGAGGGCAAAGCUGGAGUAGUUGUGUGAAAAAAUGAAUAAUAGAAGAAAGCUGUAAUCCCAGCACCCAGGAGGCUGAGGUAGGAGGACCUUGAGCUCAAGGCUAACCUGAGUUACAUAAUAAGUUCAAGCCCAGCCUGGACUAUGUAGCAAGAC
This is a non-coding RNA of Heterocephalus glaber (naked mole-rat), 466 nucleotides long. The record is from RefSeq and is a predicted model, not a curated record. NCBI's taxonomy places the organism in Eukaryota, Metazoa, Chordata, Mammalia, Rodentia, Bathyergidae.